Dendronephthya gigantea is the source of this 1921-nucleotide RNA transcript. RefSeq lists it as uncharacterized. The transcript has 9 exons. NCBI's taxonomy places the organism in Eukaryota, Metazoa, Cnidaria, Anthozoa, Malacalcyonacea, Nephtheidae. The record is from RefSeq and is a predicted model, not a curated record.
CGUAAGGGAGCGUAAUUACUUCCCUAAUUUGGGAGUUUAGAGCGAUUAAAAAGGCCAAUUAAUGUGAUCAAUAAUUUACUGAUUUCAUUUAUCAAUCUCCUGCUCAUGCGAUCUCACGCUUCACUGGAUGUUCAAGUUUCUAAAUAACAAAACCUGCCUGCAUUCUAAAACGAAAUCAACAUGUAUAUUGAACUUUUAUUUUCAAUUCUAGCAUUUAGUUGUCUUAGGAUGCAUUCGUUGUUACUAAAGACUUACGCUCAGUAUAGCGAUAUUUGGCAAUUCAAACAGGAUUGGUGUAGACAGAGAAAGGCUGCUUUUGAUUGGCAAGCGAUCCUGGAGCCUUGCAAGAACGAUUUGGAAUACAAUAAAAAACCAAAAUCGUUAAUUUCAACAGAAGGAACAUCUCCUAACAACAGCUUAGUUUUCGUCAGAGUGGCACCAGCCGGCCAGUUUACCCAUAUAUGGAUAGAAUCACGAGACAAAUUAGGCAACCCCAAGAAAUAUGGUGGGGACUCGUGGCGGGUAAUGAUCAGAAGUGAGGGGGCAACCCUGGCAGCUGAUGUGUUUGAUCACAAUAAUGGCAGUUACGAAGCUCUGGCGCUGAUAAUGGAACCUGGGUUGUAUACUUUAGAUGUGAGGUUGGACUACACAUUGUGCGAUGGAUUUCGCAACCCCCCGGUUGAGUGGUUUAGAACAUUUCACUGCUCAGGAGUUAUCAAAGAUCUCAAAGACGUUGCAGAUCCAAUUUUUGCCGACUUGCAAGACUAUAUCAAUAAAAGAAUAGAGAACGGACGGAUUCUGGCUAUAAACGUUCUUCCUUCAAAUCUAAAUGCUCUGGGUCACGCUCAACUAAUGCUACAGGCCGACAAUGAAUGUGAUGUGCCGUGUAGCAAAAAAUUAUGGGAUGGGUACGGUCGCUGGAGUUUUAAAAAUAAAUGGAAACCUUUCAUGAACGAGAUCAAUUUCCCAUCUUCUUCAGAGGAGUGGCGAAUAUUUGAGGGACGACGGAGGAACCUGGAUUACAUCAGAGGACAUAAAAAAGGAAAAGGGAUGUUUUGGGUAUUUGGUGAUUCUCUGAGCUAUUACUUUUACGAAUCGUUGUCAAAGAACCGACGAGAAUUCUGUGAGACGGAUUUCCAGAUGUGCAAUGUGUCGGCUAACUGGAUUUACCCCAAGGACAUGUACCUGCCGAUUGAAUCGAUAAAGACUUGCAACGGUACAAAAUUAGAGGUUCCCAAAAUUCUCAAUUUCCUUCGUGAAGUUACAAGGAAGCCAACGAUGAUGGACAAGAAUUCUGUAUUGCUCUAUAACGCCGGGGCUCAUUAUGUCAAGUCAGUCAGUUUCGCGCAGUAUAAAGAGGUGAUCAGUGAAUUAGCAAGAGUUUUAGGCGAGGAAUUCAAAGGAAAAGCGAUAUGGAAGUCCACUACUGCGAUGCACGAUCAGACGAUGUCUAAAUAUAUUGGUUGUUUUCGACGCUUCACCACGCAUCAGCGUAUAAAACUGUUCAAUGCGUACAGUAACGGGGCGAUGUGCAAAGCUGGUGUCCCUUUUCUCGAUAUUUACCCAAUCUCAGCGUCCUAUCCUGGUGGAACGAUAGACGGAGUUCACUACCACGAGUCAGUAUUUUAUCCUGUGGAAGAACUGUUGGUCAGCUAUUUCAGUAAAUAGUUGCUGAUGAUAGGAAUUGUUCCGUGAAUGUCAAUGGUUGAUGAUGGUAGGCGUUGAAACUGGGAAUGUCAACUGGGUAGCCGCUGUUCCGAACUAUAAUACCAUCACAUCAGUUCAAACAUGUAAUCCUCUUUUAUUUACAAUUACAAGUUCUGGCGCGGAAUGCAAACCGUCUCUCUUUGAACUUGGCUUCAAUCUAUUUCCAUGGUGCUGAUUAGAAGAUGAAAGCAUAUCUUCACUGUUGUCCUUUUGA